RNAcentral lists this ribosomal RNA (503 nucleotides) under uncultured bacterium. RNAcentral's name for it is "bacterial SSU rRNA". It matches the Rfam family "Bacterial small subunit ribosomal RNA", at positions 47 to 518 of the family's 1533-position model. The record is from RNAcentral.
CCUAAUACAUGACAAGUCGAACGGUCUUUCUAUGGAAGCUUGCUCCACGUGGGAAGAUAGUGGCGGAACGGGUGAAGUAACACGGUGGGUAACCUGCCCAUAAGAGGGGGGAUAACAUCCGGAAACGGGUGCUAAUACCGCAUAGUUUUCUUGAUCGCAUGAUUGAGAAAGGAAAGACGGCCUUUGUGCUGUCGCUUAUGGAUGGACCCGCGGCGUAUUAGUUAGUUGGUGAGGUAACGGCUCACCAAGACGAUGAUACGUAGCCGACCUGAGAGGGUGAUCGGCCACAUUGGGACUGAGACACGGCCCAAACUCCUACGGGAGGCAGCAGUAGGGAAUCUUCCGCAAUGGACGAAAGUCUGACGGAGCAACGCCGCGUGAGUGAAGAAGGUUUUCGGAAUCGUAAAACUCUGUUGUCAGAGAAGAACAAGCUGGAGAGUAACUGCUCCAGCCUUGACGGUAUCUGACCAGAAAGCCACGGCUAACUACGUGCCAGCAGCCGC